GACAGUGUUUUUGUGGGUGUUGAU
Molecule: non-coding RNA, 24 nt
Filed under: Arabidopsis thaliana (thale cress)
Lineage: Eukaryota; Viridiplantae; Streptophyta; Magnoliopsida; Brassicales; Brassicaceae
Source: RNAcentral